ACGCUGGCGGCGUGCCUAAUACAUGCAAGUAGAACGCUGAAGAGAGGAGCUUGCUCUUCUUGGAUGAGUUGCGAACGGGUGAGUAACGCGUAGGUAACCUGCCUUGUAGCGGGGGAUAACUAUUGGAAACGAUAGCUAAUACCGCAUAACAAUGGAUGACACAUGUCAUUUAUUUGAAAGGGGCAAUUGCUCCACUACAAGAUGGACCUGCGUUGUAUUAGCUAGUAGGUGAGGUAACGGCUCACCUAGGCGACGAUACAUAGCCGACCUGAGAGGGUGAUCGGCCACACUGGGACUGAGACACGGCCCAGACUCCUACGGGAGGCAGCAGUAGGGAAUCUUCGGCAAUGGGGGCAACCCUGACCGAGCAACGCCGCGUGAGUGAAGAAGGUUUUCGGAUCGUAAAGCUCUGUUGUAAGUCAAGAACGAGUGUGAGAGUGGAAAGUUCACACUGUGACGGUAGCCUACCAGAAAGGGACGGCUAACUACGUGCCAGCAGCCGCGGUAAUACGUAGGUCCCGAGCGUUGUCCGGAUUUAUUGGGCGUAAAGCGAGCGCAGGCGGUUUGAUAAGUCUGAAGUUAAAGGCUGUGGCUCAACCAUAGUUCGCUUUGGAAACUGUCAAACUUGAGUGCAGAAGGGGAGAGUGGAAUUCCAUGUGUAGCGGUGAAAUGCGUAGAUAUAUGGAGGAACACUGGUGGCGAAAGCGGCUCUCUGGUCUGUAACUGACGCUGAGGCUCGAAAGCGUGGGGAGCGAACAGGAUUAGAUACCCUGGUAGUCCACGCCGUAAACGAUGAGUGCUAGGUGUUGGAUCCUUUCCGGGAUUCAGUGCCGCAGCUAACGCAUUAAGCACUCCGCCUGGGGAGUACGACCGCAAGGUUGAAACUCAAAGGGAAUUGACGGGGGCCCGCACAAGCGGUGGA
Molecule: ribosomal RNA, 922 nt
Filed under: uncultured bacterium
Lineage: Bacteria
Description: bacterial SSU rRNA
Rfam family: Bacterial small subunit ribosomal RNA
Source: RNAcentral